GAUUGCAUCUUAGAACUUGGUCCAUCCAAAUGGAUGUGAACUAGGAUUCUAGACUAAAUAUUACAAGUUUUCUAUAUGUUACCUUAAUUGGUUGCAUAUAGUAGCUAGUAAGUUUACCUUGAAAAAAUUAGAGUGCUCAAUGCGGGCUUAAUGCCUGAAUACUCGUGCAUGGAAUAAUAAAAUAGGAUCUUGGUUCUAUUUUGUUGGUUUUCUGAUCUGAGAUAAUGGUUAAGAGGGACGGACGGGGGCAUUCGUAUCGCUACGUGAGAGGUGAAAUUCUUGGACCGUAGCGAGACGUACAACUGCGAAAGCAUUUGCCAAGAAUGUCUUCAUUAAUCAAGAACGAAAGUCAGAGGUUCGAAGGCGAUCAGAUACCGCCCUAGUUCUGACCGUAAACGAUACCAACUAGCGUUCCGUCGGCGGUAAAUACGCCUUGA
Molecule: ribosomal RNA, 437 nt
Filed under: Dirofilaria immitis (dog heartworm nematode)
Lineage: Eukaryota; Metazoa; Nematoda; Chromadorea; Rhabditida; Onchocercidae
Description: SSU rRNA
Rfam family: Eukaryotic small subunit ribosomal RNA
Source: RNAcentral